Long non-coding RNA from Amblyraja radiata (thorny skate), 1101 nucleotides. RefSeq lists it as uncharacterized. NCBI's taxonomy places the organism in Eukaryota, Metazoa, Chordata, Chondrichthyes, Rajiformes, Rajidae. The record is from RefSeq and is a predicted model, not a curated record. The transcript is spliced from 2 exons.
UUUAGUGUUGCCUCUCCCGCUUCUCUGCAGCGCCGGGUAAUAAAAGCCAGCGGCCAGAGUCUGGGGCUGGACUAGAGUUUGCAACACACAGGCGGGGAGGGAGGGAGGGUGCGGGGGGGAUUCCCUAUGUCAGCGGAGCUUUCUGAAAUCGGAACCGUGCAGCAAGGGGAGUCUCCGCUGCAUACUUUUAACCCCCUCCUCUCUGUUUCAUCUGUGUCUGAGAGUCGCUGCCGUUCCGCGGCGUGUGUGAGAUGGCUGCGUUUUUUUUAUUGCAAAGGGAUUGAAUUAUUUUUCAGGGGUCCCAGGACACCAGGUUUCGCCUCAACAUGGAAAUUCCACGUGUUGGCCAUAACUCUGCAACAUGCAUUCUGCUGAAGUGUGGCGAUCACAGUAGAUCGCCCCUCCCCACACCCUCCCUCCCCUCCCCUCCCCUCCCCCCCAACUCAACAUUUAUACCAAAAAGACGGCGGAGAUCAUCUAUGAACAAAGUUUAAAGAAUGAGAAACGAGUCUGGGAUUAAAGGAGGAUUUGCAGGACAAUUUGCAGGAUAAUAUGAAGUGGAAAAAAUGGAUCGAGGACAACGUGGGAUGGCAGCGAUCCGCCAGGGAUGGCCCCAACGACUGCAAACUCUUUGAGAAAAGAGAGACGAGGAGCGCAAGAAGGGACAGUGGAACUCUUUAAAUUAAGAAAUAAAACCGGGCGCCACGCAGGUUGGGAAAAGUGACGGCGAGGGGUGAAUUUAAAAAAAAAAAGCGGGACUGUUCAAAUGCAAGGAGAGAAGCCAGCAGAGGAGUGGUCAUCGAUGGAGUCUUGCACACACCAGCGGUCUUUCUCAGCUGAGUCAGCCCGAAAGCAGUGGUCGUCUCAAUUGCAGCGCUUCUGUGCAAAGCAGAACAAAAGAGCACAUGGCAUAAUCAGGGAGGCUCAAAAGCUCCAGGCUAAGACUUGAUCAAAAGCAGAAUCUUGUCAAGACGGAAGUUGGUCAUCGUCCGCAUUCUAAAGAGCCCGAACAUCUUCAAAGCGAUUGACGUAAAAGUUAUUUUUGUGGAUUCUGACCAUUUUAGACAUGUUAGCCCAGGUCACUUGUUAGAGCUUGUUUUU